UACGUAGGGUGCAAGCGUUAAUCGGAAUUACUGGGCGUAAAGCGUGCGCAGGCGGUGCUGUAAGACAGUUGUGAAAUCCCCGGGCUCAACCUGGGAACUGCAUUUGUGACUGCACAGCUUGAGUGCGGCAGAGGGGGAUGGAAUUCCGCGUGUAGCAGUGAAAUGCGUAGAUAUGCGGAGGAACACCGAUGGCGAAGGCAAUCUCCUGGGCCUGCACUGACGCUCAUGCACGAAAGCGUGGGGAGCAAACAGG
This 253-nucleotide ribosomal RNA is filed under the name uncultured bacterium. RNAcentral describes it as "partial 16S ribosomal RNA". It matches the Rfam family "Bacterial small subunit ribosomal RNA", at positions 524 to 776 of the family's 1533-position model. The record is from RNAcentral.